CAAGUCGAACGGUGAACUCGCUUCGGCGGGGGAUCAGUGGCGAACGGGUGAGUAACACGUGGGCAACCUGCCCUCAGCUCUGGGAUAACUCCAAGAAAUUGGGGCUAAUACUGGAUAUGACCGCUGACCGCAUGGUCUGGUGGAAAGAUUUAUCGGCUGAGGAUGGGCCCGCGGCCUAUCAGCUUGUUGGUGGGGUCACGGCCUACCAAGGCGACGACGGGUAGCCGGCCUGAGAGGGUGACCGGCCACACUGGGACUGAGACACGGCCCAGACUCCUACGGGAGGCAGCAGUGGGGAAUAUUGCGCAAUGGGCGAAAGCCUGACGCAGCGACGCCGCGUGGGGGAUGACGGCCUUCGGGUUGUAAACCUCUUUCAGCAGGGACGAAGCGAAAGUGACGGUACCUGCAGAAGAAGCACCGGCCAACUACGUGCCAGCAGCCGCGGUAAUACGUAGGGUGCAAGCGUUGUCCGGAAUUAUUGGGCGUAAAGAGCUCGUAGGCGGUUCGUCGCGUCGGCUGUGAAAUCCCGAGGCUCAACCUCGGGUCUGCAGUCGAUACGGGCGGACUUGAGUUCGGCAGGGGAGACUGGAAUUCCUGGUGUAGCGGUGAAAUGCGCAGAUAUCAGGAGGAACACCGGUGGCGAAGGCGGGUC
This 652-nucleotide ribosomal RNA is filed under the name uncultured Actinomycetes bacterium. RNAcentral's name for it is "bacterial SSU rRNA". It matches the Rfam family "Bacterial small subunit ribosomal RNA", at positions 58 to 727 of the family's 1533-position model. Lineage: Bacteria; Bacillati; Actinomycetota; Actinomycetes. The record is from RNAcentral.